Molecule: non-coding RNA, 147 nt
Organism: Brachypodium distachyon (stiff brome)
Lineage: Eukaryota; Viridiplantae; Streptophyta; Magnoliopsida; Poales; Poaceae
Source: Rfam
AGCCUGAUAGUCCUUCACCGGUAGCUACCAGCAUUAACCGUUGAUUCUAUGAUUGGGCCAAGAAAGAGUCAUUGUCGUUUCACAAUUGAUCAGAUCCUGUGACUAGUGUUCAGUUGGUCAACAGAGCUGGUUGUUGUGAUUACAUAU